RNAcentral lists this ribosomal RNA (466 nucleotides) under uncultured bacterium. Its description in RNAcentral is "partial 16S ribosomal RNA". It matches the Rfam family "Bacterial small subunit ribosomal RNA", at positions 28 to 507 of the family's 1533-position model. The record is from RNAcentral.
GACGAACGCUGGCGGCGCGCCUAACACAUGCAAGUCGAACGAGCGAGAGAGAGCUUGCUUUCUUGAGCGAGUGGCGAACGGGUGAGUAACGCGUGAGGAACCUGCCUCAAAGAGGGGGACAACAGUUGGAAACGACUGCUAAUACCGCAUAAGCCCACGGUGCCGCAUGGCACAGAGGGAAAAGGAGCAAUCCGCUUUGAGAUGGCCUCGCGUCCGAUUAGCUAGUUGGUGAGGUAACGGCCCACCAAGGCGACGAUCGGUAGCCGGACUGAGAGGUUGAACCGCCACAUUGGGACUGAGACACGGCCCAGACUCCUACGGGAGGCAGCAGUGGGGAAUAUUGCACAAUGGGGGAAACCCUGAUGCAGCGACGCCGCGUGGAGGAAGAAGGUCUUCGGAUUGUAAACUCCUGUUGUUGGGGAAGAUAAUGACGGUACCCAACAAGGAAGUGACGGCUAACUACGUG